RNAcentral lists this ribosomal RNA (254 nucleotides) under uncultured bacterium. RNAcentral's name for it is "partial 16S ribosomal RNA". It matches the Rfam family "Bacterial small subunit ribosomal RNA", at positions 524 to 777 of the family's 1533-position model. The record is from RNAcentral.
GACGAACUGUCCUAACGUUGUUCGGAAUCACUGGGCUUAAAGGGCGCGUAGGCGGUCCGACAAGUCAGGGGUGAAAUCCUGCAGCUUAACUGUAGAAGUGCCUUUGAUACUGUCGGUCUUGAGGGAGAUAGGGGUGUGCGGAACUUCCAGUGGAGCGGUGAAAUGCGUUGAUAUUGGAAGGAACGCCGGAGGCGAAAGCGGCGCACUGGAUCUCUUCUGACGCUGAGGCGCGAAAGCUAGGGGAGCAAACGGGG